GGACUGUAGUGGUUUUGCGGCCUGGAUUGAGAACAGAAAGCUACACCAGUUUAAUCAGUGAAAAUGAGAAAGGACAUGUUUCUUCACACAGAUUUCUUCAUCUGCACAGUGGGUGCCUUCCACUGCCAACAGGACCACCCAGAGUGGAGAAGCCACACGCGGCAUCCACCCAGCAUCAUCAGAAUGGAGGCUGCCCUCACUGGGUGAGGAGAAGCUCUCACCCCAGAUGUGGAGAGGUGGAAAAAGCUGCUCUUCAUUAGGGGAAUAUUGUGUGCAGUGAACCCAGCCCUGGGAGAUAUCCCAGUGGUUACAAGAUUGGAGUUAAUUGGCUGAGGCUGAGAUCAUCAGGGACUUGAAUGCUACUUUUGUUAAAAAGCACUGACUCUUUACUUGGGCCUGCAAAUGCCCAAUGGGUAACUGAAAGUAGAAUAAAGUUGAUAGCUCUACCU
This 449-nucleotide long non-coding RNA is filed under the name Chinchilla lanigera (long-tailed chinchilla). RNAcentral's name for it is "lncRNA (ENSCLAG00000026723.1)". The record is from RNAcentral. Lineage: Eukaryota; Metazoa; Chordata; Mammalia; Rodentia; Chinchillidae.